GAUGAACGCUAGCGGCAGGCCUAACACAUGCAAGUCGAGGGGCAGCACGUCUUCGGAUGGUGGCGACCGGCGCACGGGUGCGUAACGCGUAUGCAACCUACCUCUUACGGUGGGAUAGCCCAGAGAAAUUUGGAUUAAUACCGCAUAGUAUGCGACAUCAGCAUUGAUGACGUAUUAAACAUUCAUGGGUAAGAGAUGGGCAUGCGUUCUAUUAGUUAGUUGGAGUGGUAACGGCACCCCAAGACAGCGAUAGAUAGGGGCCCUGAGAGGGGGAUCCCCCGACACUGGUACUGAGACACGGACCAGACUCCUACGGGAGGCAGCAGUGAGGAAUAUUGGACAAUGGGCGGGAGCCUGAUCCAGCCAUGCCGCGUGCAGGAAGACUGCCCUACGGGUUGUAAACUGCUUUUAUACGGGAAGAAACACCCCCUCGUGAGGGGGCUUGACGGUACCGUAAGAAUAAGGAUCGGCUAACUCCGUGCCAGCAGCCGCGGUAAAGUCG
This 502-nucleotide ribosomal RNA is filed under the name uncultured bacterium. RNAcentral's name for it is "bacterial SSU rRNA". It matches the Rfam family "Bacterial small subunit ribosomal RNA", at positions 28 to 527 of the family's 1533-position model. The record is from RNAcentral.